GAUGAACGCUAGCUACAGGCUUAACACAUGCAAGUCGAGGGGCAGCAUGAACUUAGCUUGCUAAGUUUGAUGGCGACCGGCGCACGGGUGAGUAACACGUAUCCAACCUUCCGUUUACUCAGGGAUAGCCUUUCGAAAGAAAGAUUAAUACCUGAUAGUAUGGUGAGAUUGCAUGAUAGCACCAUUAAAGAUUUAUUGGUAAACGAUGGGGAUGCGUUCCAUUAGGUAGUAGGCGGGGUAACGGCCCACCUAGCCGACGAUGGAUAGGGGUUCUGAGAGGAAGGUCCCCCACAUUGGAACUGAGACACGGUCCAAACUCCUACGGGAGGCAGCAGUGAGGAAUAUUGGUCAAUGGGCGUGAGCCUGAACCAGCCAAGUAGCGUGAAGGAUGAAGGUCCUACGGAUUGUAAACUUCUUUUAUACGGGAAUAAAGUAUCCUACGUGUAGGAUUUUGUAUGUACCGUAUGAAUAAGCAUCGGCUAACUCCGUGCCAGCAGCCGCGGU
RNAcentral lists this ribosomal RNA (504 nucleotides) under uncultured bacterium. RNAcentral's name for it is "bacterial SSU rRNA". It matches the Rfam family "Bacterial small subunit ribosomal RNA", at positions 28 to 521 of the family's 1533-position model. The record is from RNAcentral.